GAUGAACGCUGGCGGCGUGCCUAAUACAUGCAAGUCGAGCGAACGGACGAGAAGCUUGCUUCUCUGAUGUUAGCGGCGGGCGGGUGAGUAACACGUGGAUAACCUACCUAUAAGACUGGGAUAACUUCGGGAAACCGGAGCUAAUACCGGAUGAUAUUUUGAACCGCAUGGUUCAAAAGUGAAAGACGGUCUUGCUGUCACUUAUAGAUGGAUCCGCGCUGCAUUAGCUAGUUGGUAAGGUAAUGGCUUACCAAGGCAACGAUGCAUAGCCGACCUGAGAGGGUGAUCGGCCACACUGGAACUGAGACACGGUCCAGACUCCUACGGGAGGCAGCAGUAGGGAAUCUUCCGCAAUGGGCGAAAGCCUGACGGAGCAACGCCGCGUGAGUGAUGAAGGUCUUCGGAUCGUAAAACUCUGUUAUUAGGGAAGAACAUAUGUGUAAGUAACUGUGCACAUCUUGACGGUACCUAAUCAGAAAGCCACGGCUAACUACGUG
RNAcentral lists this ribosomal RNA (497 nucleotides) under uncultured bacterium. RNAcentral describes it as "partial 16S ribosomal RNA". It matches the Rfam family "Bacterial small subunit ribosomal RNA", at positions 28 to 507 of the family's 1533-position model. The record is from RNAcentral.